RNAcentral lists this ribosomal RNA (862 nucleotides) under Bacillus tequilensis. Its description in RNAcentral is "bacterial SSU rRNA". It matches the Rfam family "Bacterial small subunit ribosomal RNA", at positions 74 to 919 of the family's 1533-position model. Lineage: Bacteria; Bacillati; Bacillota; Bacilli; Caryophanales; Bacillaceae. The record is from RNAcentral.
GGGAGCUUGCUCCCUGAUGUUAGCGGCGGACGGGUGAGUAACACGUGGGUAACCUGCCUGUAAGACUGGGAUAACUCCGGGAAACCGGGGCUAAUACCGGAUGGUUGUUUGAACCGCAUGGUUCAAACAUAAAAGGUGGCUUCGGCUACCACUUACAGAUGGACCCGCGGCGCAUUAGCUAGUUGGUGAGGUAACGGCUCACCAAGGCAACGAUGCGUAGCCGACCUGAGAGGGUGAUCGGCCACACUGGGACUGAGACACGGCCCAGACUCCUACGGGAGGCAGCAGUAGGGAAUCUUCCGCAAUGGACGAAAGUCUGACGGAGCAACGCCGCGUGAGUGAUGAAGGUUUUCGGAUCGUAAAGCUCUGUUGUUAGGGAAGAACAAGUACCGUUCGAAUAGGGCGGUACCUUGACGGUACCUAACCAGAAAGCCACGGCUAACUACGUGCCAGCAGCCGCGGUAAUACGUAGGUGGCAAGCGUUGUCCGGAAUUAUUGGGCGUAAAGGGCUCGCAGGCGGUUUCUUAAGUCUGAUGUGAAAGCCCCCGGCUCAACCGGGGAGGGUCAUUGGAAACUGGGGAACUUGAGUGCAGAAGAGGAGAGUGGAAUUCCACGUGUAGCGGUGAAAUGCGUAGAGAUGUGGAGGAACACCAGUGGCGAAGGCGACUCUCUGGUCUGUAACUGACGCUGAGGAGCGAAAGCGUGGGGAGCGAACAGGAUUAGAUACCCUGGUAGUCCACGCCGUAAACGAUGAGUGCUAAGUGUUAGGGGGUUUCCGCCCCUUAGUGCUGCAGCUAACGCAUUAAGCACUCCGCCUGGGGAGUACGGUCGCAAGACUGAAACUCAAAGGAAUUGACGGGGG